RNAcentral lists this ribosomal RNA (229 nucleotides) under uncultured bacterium. RNAcentral's name for it is "partial 16S ribosomal RNA". It matches the Rfam family "Bacterial small subunit ribosomal RNA", at positions 568 to 796 of the family's 1533-position model. The record is from RNAcentral.
CAUGUAGGCGGCAUGACAAGUCUGGUGUGAAAUACCUCGGCUCAACCGAGAAAACGCACUGGAAACUGUCAAGCUUGAGUAUCGGAGGGGAAGCUAGAAUUCCUGGUGUAGGGGUGAAAUCUGUAGAUAUCAGGAAGAAUACCGGUGGCGAAGGCGAGCUUCUGGCCAGAUACUGACGCUGAGAUGCGAAAGCGUGGGGAGCGAACAGGAUUAGAUACCCUGGUAGUCC